UCCACCUUCAUUAUCUUUCAUUUUCCCGUAACACGCUCUCAAAACAUUAUGAAAAUACCAAUACAUGUUACUGUUCACCUUCUUUUCCAAACCUUCCGUUCUUCCUUCACUCGCAAAUCCUCCAAAUAAUUAAAGUUCACUAAAAUCCUCCAAAGCUGUUCAACAACUUUGCAUGCGAGAAUUUUCCUCUUCAUCCUUGCGAAUCAACUCAAACAGCGAAAUAGGGAAACCGUAUGCAAGAGGAGCUCAAAGCUACUUCGAACCAGAAUCACCUUCUUCUUUAGUUUUGUUUAUGUGAGUUAUGUUACAUUAACGUAUUUUUAGCAUGAGGAUUAUGGGGGUUUAUUCAUUGAAAUCCUUUAUUUCUUUGUUAUAAAUUAUUUUGGGGAUUGUAAGGGUUAAAAGAAUUUAAAUGCAUCAGAGAAAUAAAAUCUUUUGCAAAUAGGUGGUUUCAAUCUGCACUCAAAUGAUUUAAAUUGACAAACAUGUGGUUUGUAUACUUAUUGGUCGUUGUUGUGUUAGUGAUUUAGUAAUUACAGAAUUAUGGGAUUUGAAUUUUAGUGCAAGAUGCGAAUUCUACCCCUGAAGACAAAUACACGUCCCUGAAUGUUUUCCACCCUUGCUAAUGUAUUUUGUCCAUGAUAGUUGUGAAGGUAAAAAAAUAUCAAUUAUAAGGAAGGGGGGUUUGAAUUAUAGUUGCCCCUUUUAAAAAUUAUGUUUUAAAAGUAAUAUCUCAAUCCAAGAUUGAUCUUGGCAGUGAUGAAGAUCGACCUUGGUUUUGUUGAAACAACAAUAUCAAUUUUAUCAAUAUAAAAUAUGAUUGUAAAGCAUAAAAUAAAUAGAGAUAGAGAUAGAGAGAUCACACAAGGAUAUAUCCGGGUUACGUCCAGUCCUCACAACCGUGAGAUUUUUCACUAAGUGUUCAAACCAAGAUCGUUCUUGGUUUUCAUGGAUCAAUCUUGAUCUUUACACAAUUCCCACCCUUCUACCUAGAAAGGAUUUCUUCAGUUCUACCUUACUGUUUUGGAAACGUUUUAACAAGUUACCUUUCAAAACAUGAAAGAAUUUUUGCAAUUUACUCAAGAUUUGACAAAACAACCUUGAGUUACAAAGUGAUGGAUUUGAGACUAUUUAGAAUCUUAGUAUUGCUCAACUCUUGUUUGAGAAAUAUAUUCUGUAAAUAGACCUCAGUUGUAAAUGAUUACAACACAAAGAUUAAAACAAAACAGCAAACUAUAAGAAAGAUUUUGAGACACUUGAGUAUGAUCGAAGAGAUUGAUCUUUUGCUUGGUGCUGAUUGUUGUGUUUUGUUCUUCAACUUGAAGCUACAUUUAUAGACUCCAAGAAGGCUUAUGACAGCUCAUGUGGCCGUUGGAAAGGGACCAACUGUCAUGAAAGAGUUGUUGGAUAAAUUCUGCCAAAAACAAGAUUGAUCAGCUGCAUCAAAAGAUCGAUCCAGGAUUGAUCUUUUGGUUUGUGAUGAACUAGCAUUGUACUUUAUGAUUUGUGUCAGUAUGUCAGCCUUGAGUACAUGCUUUUCUGUUAUGGUGUGCAGGCUUUAGAAUAGUUCAAAUCAGUAGUGUACUUUGCUACUUGUAGUCUUGUACUUGCAUUUGCUUUAUAAGAAGAAUGAUCUUUGUGAUAUGCCUUUAUUGAAGCAUGCCUUUGAUUCUUCAAAUUCUGGAACAAAUGUGACUUGGAUUGAUCUUUUGUUGAUUCUAUAUGAGAGUAUAAGAUGAAUAUUGUUUCCUGGAUUGAUCUUUUUCAGGGAAACAGAUUAACCUUGUUUCUGCCAUAAACGAAGAUCAUUCUUCGUUUUUCAUCAAUAAGUCAAGAUCGAUCUUUGUUUUCCAGAACUGCCUCAAGAUCAAUCUUUAUCUUCCAGAACUACUUCAAGAUCAAUCUCUAUUUUCCAAAACUGCUUUCUUUGAUUUUAAUAAGGUCUGAUUUGUGAUGUUUUGAUACCUAUCUUGUUUUAACAUACUCAAAAACACAUGUUAAAUAUCAAAACACUUAGAAUCAUAAUUAGAAUUCUUAAUUAACUUUUUGUUUGUUUUCAUCAAAACAUUAAAUUGAGAUUUUGUCUCAACAAGUUGUAUCUAUUCCUGCCUCUGAUUGCUCGUCAUUAAAUUCUAAGUGUUUCUGUUUCUAGUAGCUUUCUUCAUUUUGCCUCUGGUGGCUAUCGUUCUUAAAAUCUAAAUAUUUAUGCCUCUGUUAGUUUUCUUUAUUUUGUCUCUGGUGGCCAUCGUUGUUAAAAUCCUAAGUAUUUUUUGCCUCUUGUAGUUUUCUUCGUCUUUCCUAUAAUACUCCUUCUCUAUUCUUCUUCCUCUGAUUCUCUUUCUCUAUUAUUUUUCCUUUGUUUCUCAUUCUCUCUAUUAUUCUUCAUCUAAUUCUCUUUCUCCCUAUACUUAUUCCUCUUCUUCUAAUUUUGUUUCUCUAUAUUCUUAUUCCUCUAAAUCUCUUUCUCUAUUCUUCUUCAACUAACUCUUUUUCUUUUCUUUCUUCCUUUGACUCUGAUCAAUGUUCAACAUCCUCUAAACCCAUUUCCUUUGAUUCUUCCACGGGACACGUUUCCUUUGAUACUUCAACAAGAAAAGUUUCUUUGGAUACUUCCACAGAACGCGUUUCCUCUUAUUAUUCAUAUGGUCUAUGUAUCAUCUUACCACGUUGCCUCUGGUCCAUCCAUUCUCUGACCAUAUUUUCUCCAGUUCAUGCAUCUUCUGACCAUAUUUCCUCUGGUUCAUGCAUCCUCUGACCAUGUUGCCUCUGGUCCAUGCAUUCUUUGGUCUACCUAUAAUCUGAUCUAUAUGCUUCUGACCAGGGACUUAAGAUUUAAUUCCCACUUGAAUUUCAGUACAUUACUAUGUUUUUUAUAAUUGUUGUAGAUGAAUGAUGCAUUGUGUACAAGACAUAAUAAAGAUAUUGCAUACCAAACAUCUCAAGUUCAAUAUAUUCUCAUUAAUUAGAUCAUGCUAGGCCAUAUUCAUGGUGGAACAUUCAGGUUGUUCUAGGCACAGAACAACAGGUAGAGGAGAACAAUCAUGAUGUUGGUUGUGUUGGAACCAAGUUGGUUUUACAUUUAGAGCUUUGAUGUUAACAAAAGUAUUUUAUGAGAACAAUACAUUUGACUUCAAAGAGUAUGAAAAAAGAUUCAUGUUUUUGAAGAAAAUCUAUGAUAAGAUUUGAUUCAAAUUUAUAAUUGAAGAAAUCUAAAAUAAGAUUUGAUCCCAAAUUGUAAUUGGUGAAAAUCUCUUACCAAGUUGAAAAGAAGAUAUGGUCAAUAUUUAAAGAAUGUUUGAGGAAGAUUUGAAGAUUAUUUGAUCAACAUUUGAAGAAGAUUCAAUUAAGAUUUGAAGAAGAUUUAAUCAUGAUUUGAAUCUUUUAUAUCCAACUCGAUAGUGGUUUAGUUCCUGUUCAAUCUAGGGUUGUUAGGUUGUUAGGAGAAGACUUGGCUUGCAAGGUCAAGGUGGUUAAUUCCUUCUUUAAUCUGGGGUUGUUAGGUUGUUAAGAGAAGACUUGGCUGGUAGGGUCAAGGUGGUUAGUUCCUCCAAAGUCUGGGGUUGUUAAGCUGUUUGAGAAGACUAGCUUGGAGGGUCAGGUGCUUUAUAAUUCAAGGUAUUUGAAUUAGUGGAUUAAAGCCUUUUGAAUGAAGGGACUGAAUGUAGCCAAGUAAGUGGUGAACCAGGAUAAAUAUAUGUGUCAAAUUAAUUAUGCUUCAUUGUUUAGUGCUUCUUAUUUGAGUAAUUCAUAAAAACCAACCAACCUUCACCACAUUAGCAAAAAGUUAUCAACUUUAUCAAACACAAUUUAACCUCCCUUCUCGUGUUUGCACCUUCAAUUGGCAUUAGAGCUCUGUCUCAAGGCUGAGCACUUUACAAUGUUUGAGGAAAGAUCUAAGGGUUCAACAUGUCUCGAUUUAGUGAAUCAAUAGAUGAAGCAAUUGAGGUAUUUUCUGAAUUUACUCGAUUUGAUUUAAUUACUGCUAUAAAUGAUUUUUUUAAAUAUUAAUAAAAAAUUGGCUUUAUAACAGCAAACACUUAGGAAAGAAAAUACAAAUCUAAUUGAAAAAGUUAAUGUUUUAAAGAAUUAAAGUACUGAAUUUAAAACAGAAAAUACAAAUAUGAAAACUGAUGUUACUGAACUUAAAAUAGAGAAUGCAAAUCUAAAAAUUGAUAUUACUGAACAUAAGACAUAUAAUGCAACUCUGAAAACUGAUAUUAUUGAACUUAAAAUAGAAAAUGCAAAUUUGGAAAAUGAUAUUGCUGAACUUAAUGUUGAAAAUCUAACUCUGAUAAGCAUGAAGAAGUAUUUCAACAUUUUAUUGAUAAUGGUAUGGAAAGAAUCAAAUAUGCAUUUAUGAUUUAUGGGGUUAGUAGGAAUAGUAAAAGAGGAAUAGAUUUUCAAGAAAAAGUAAGUGAACCUAAGUUUAUUUUCUCUGAUAAUUUAUGUACUACUUGCUAUAAGAAAGGUCACAUUAAAAUAUCUUGUCCUAUGCUAACCACAUGGAAAGACAAGAUUUGGGUACCAAAGGAUAAAAUUGUUAUGUUGCAGAUGUUCUAAGCAACCAAAUUGAAACACCAAUCAUGGUGUCUAGUCAAUGGAUGCUUGCAAUAUAUGAAGGAAAAAAUAUCUAUGUUCCAAGCCCUAUCAAACAAAAGCCAACUAACUCUGGUGGAAGAAGGACUAGCAACACAAAACUUAUCAGAAUCAGAACCAUAUCAUGAACCAGAAAUAUUAGAAAAAUCUGAAGUAUCAAUAGAAUCAAAACUGGCAGAGAAAUCACACAUAUCAAUAAAAAUCAAAUCUGGAAGAGAAAUCACACAUAUCAACAAAACUAGAACUACCAGAAGAAUCAAAAUUACCAUCAGUUCCCAAAUUACCAAAAAAAACCUGAUACAUCAGUGAUAAGAUAGAAUUCAUCUAUUUUUAUAAUUUUAUUUGAUAGGUUAAUUUGAUGUUUUUAAUUCGAUUUUAGUUCUUUUUUACUACCUUUUUGUUUUGUUUUGAUUGCAAGGAGAAGUGAAGGAAUAAGUGAAGAUUUUUGGAGCAAAAGAGCCUUAAAUCAAGUGGUGCAUCAUGAUCAAGAAAAUGAAAGAAACUCAAGUUCUAGCAAACAUUACUACCUUGCCAUAAUAGUCAUUACAACCAUAAUGGAUGAAUGAAAAUAAAUAAAUAAAAUAAGAAUAUGCCAAUUCAAGUCAGUAAGGAUUACUCCCUAACAGUAAUGACCAUUAUGACCAUAAUCUGUUCAUUUUCUGCUGCUACAUCUAUUAUUGUCUGGUAGUAAUGACCAUUAUGGCUAUAAUAUGUUCAUUUUCUACUGUUGCAUCUAUUACUUCCUGACAGUAAUGACCAUUAUGGCUAUAAUCUGUUGAUCUUCUACAGCUGCACCUAUUACUGUCUUGCAGUAAUGACCAUUAUGGCCAUAAAUGACUCAUUUUCUGCUGAACUGUUUUCCUUCUAUCAAAUUAUGAUGGUUUCUUGUAAUUAAAGCUCAUGAAAGCACCUAGGACUAUAAAAAGGACCAAAAUACUCAGUUUUAGGGACACAUAUACUCCUACACACAAUCUCUUACUACUA
This 5580-nucleotide long non-coding RNA is filed under the name Cicer arietinum (chickpea). Its description in RNAcentral is "long non-coding RNA (CARI_LNC003028)". The record is from RNAcentral. Lineage: Eukaryota; Viridiplantae; Streptophyta; Magnoliopsida; Fabales; Fabaceae.